Molecule: ribosomal RNA, 468 nt
Filed under: uncultured bacterium
Lineage: Bacteria
Description: partial 16S ribosomal RNA
Rfam family: Bacterial small subunit ribosomal RNA
Source: RNAcentral
GACGAACGCUGGCGGCGUGCUUAACACAUGCAAGUCGAACGGAAAGGCCCUGCUUUUGUGGGGUGCUCGAGUGGCGAACGGGUGAGUAACACGUGAGUAACCUGCCCUUGACUUUGGGAUAACUUCAGGAAACUGGGGCUAAUACCGGAUAGGAGCUCCUGCUGCAUGGGGGGGGCUGGAAAGUUUCGGCGGUUGGGGAUGGACUCGCGGCUUAUCAGCUUGUUGGUGGGGUAGUGGCUUACCAAGGCUUUGACGGGUAGCCGGCCUGAGAGGGUGACCGGCCACAUUGGGACUGGGAUACGGCCCAGACUCCUACGGGAGGCAGCAGUGGGGAAUAUUGCACAAUGGGCGGAAGCCUGAUGCAGCAACGCCGCGUGCGGGAUGACGGCCUUCGGGUUGUAAACCGCUUUCGCCUGUGACGAAGCGUGAGUGACGGUAAUGGGUAAAGAAGCACCGGCUAACUACGUG